UACGUAGGGCGCAAGCGUUAUCCGGAAUUAUUGGGCGUAAAGCGCUCGUAGGCGGUUUGUCGCGUCUGCCGUGAAAGUCCGGGGCUCAACUCCGGAUCUGCGGUGGGUACGGGCAGACUAGAGUGAUGUAGGGGAGACUGGAAUUCCUGGUGUAGCGGUGAAAUGCGCAGAUAUCAGGAGGAACACCGAUGGCGAAGGCAGGUCACUGGGCAGGAACUGACGCUGAGGAGCGAAAGCAUGGGGAGCGAACAGG
Molecule: ribosomal RNA, 253 nt
Filed under: uncultured bacterium
Lineage: Bacteria
Description: partial 16S ribosomal RNA
Rfam family: Bacterial small subunit ribosomal RNA
Source: RNAcentral